GUUGGCAGAUUAGUGCUUUAAAUUUAGAAUUUAAUUAGGUAAGUGUAUUACAUUUA
Molecule: transfer RNA, 56 nt
Filed under: Errhomus bracatus
Lineage: Eukaryota; Metazoa; Arthropoda; Insecta; Hemiptera; Cicadellidae
Description: partial tRNA-Leu
Source: RNAcentral